GAAAAUUGAAUAGAUGGACCAACGAACAGACUGAAAUAUGAAUGAAAUCACUUCAUUUUCCCUUAGAAGUCAAACUAUGAAGCAUUUUAUAGUCUGUAAACUAAGCUGGCAGAGAGACUUGUGGUCCUGAAGAACGAUGUUGGCCCAGUUGAGCGGGGCUUAGUGUAAUGGCUCCGUUCUCCACUAGAUGGCGCUGCUUAGCUUACUGGGGUGGAUGGUUGUGGCGCUUGUAGGUGUGUUUGCGCAUGUGCGGGAGCCGCGAGAAUGGCGUCACCCAGCAACCCUCUCUACUAUUGGAACGCUCUUCUCCCGGAUCAGCCAUGGCACACCCAUCGUUUGUCUUUGGCUUCCAUCCGCCUCCCGCUUUUACACAGUCUGUGACCAAGCUCCAGGCAGCACCUCCCACCUGAGUUUUAUCUCAGAUGCGGCUGUGUUUCCCGACCUCUUACUUCUGAGGGACCGCGGCUCUGACCUGCUCCGCCUUCUGCGGGAGGGUCUCAGCGAGCAGUGGCCGGGUGCGGGCCGCGUUCAGGAACGUUCACAGACGUGCUGCUGCCGAUGCGGAGACUGCGGCCCCGGGGCCAGCGCGUCCCAGAGAAAGUUCGCACCAUCUUGUGGCAGGAGCGUUUCAGGGACUAUGGCAAAUCACAACACACAUGUGGCACCAGGCUUCACCCCCAAUGACCCUGUUCUAGCACCAGUGAAUGUGGUUGUUCUUCCGGGUCCGCCGGGGUCUUGCCUUUGGGGGACCCCACAGCCUCUACCAGAUGUCCUCCCAGCAGGGGAACCAACUCUCCCGUGUGGCCCAAAGAACCCCGGACUCCGCUCUGCUCCUGGGGACUCGUCCUUCUCACCAGAGCACCUCCAGACAGUUUGGGGAGUCAGAAGCAUAUCGACGGUAGCUGAACUUCUGCACACGAAAGACUUGCCCCGGAAAAGCGUGCAAUGAGAGUCAAACACAGGACCAAGGAGGGAAUGUCAUGCAAAUUAGAGACUGUCCCAAGCUAGUGACGUCUUCACCCAGAGACCCAAAGUCUGCAAAAACACUCCUCUGUGAGGCUGUCCUGUUCACAGCUCCAGGGAAAAGUUCAUCAUGGCCUCCUCACUCACCGUUCCUGAAUUGCUGUUUCACUGGACUGGUGUAACACAUUUUGACUACACACAGAGGACAGGAACGAGAUCAUCCCAUAUACACCACAGCGGCACAGCCCAGUGCAAAUUGGAGCCUCGUGUGUAGCCCGGAGCAUCAUAUAAGCUAUUCUGUCAUCUCCCUUGAGAGCCAUAUCAGCCCAGGGUAUCAUGUCAUAGACCUUUCAUCAAGGCAUGAGUGAGACAGGAAAGGGCAGGGGAGGAAUAAAGACUUCACAGUAGGUGCUCCUGUCACUGAGCGUUCAUAGCUAUGUCAUUGGUUGUCUGUCCACGUGGUGUCUUAUGACUCAAGAGUCAUCAUCUGAGAGCCCUUCACUGGGACAAAGAUGGGCUGUUUCCACAGCCCACUCCAAUCUUGGAGAGCUAUCGUGCUCCCCUCUAUGUAUGGAUGUACUUAUUUUAUUGAAGUAUAACUAACAUAGUAUAUUAUAUUAGUGUCAGGCGUGCAACAUAUUGAUUCACCAAUUCUUAAACAUUACUCAGUGCUCACCAUAAUAAAGUAAUAGUGCCCUGAGUGAUUAUAACUUCAGUCUUCUUAAAAAGAGAAUUGGCUAAGAGGAUGUGGCCUCAUUACCAGCAUGGAAUAUAAACAUGUACACAUAUACUUACACAGGAUCCUGUAUGAAGCACACAUGGGAAAAAAAUCCUAUUCCUCCUUUUCUUCAAAAUACUGACUUCAUUAGUAAAAUGGAGAUGUUUACUCAGUUGCAAGAAAAAAUAAUCUGUUCAGCUGAAAAAUGGGAAAGAAUUUACUAAGUUUGAAAAACUAAAAAUAAUUCCUGGCUGGUCUUAUUCCUGUCCUCUGUAUUUAGAGGAAUUUACUCCUGAUACUAUUAUUACAGGAAAUUCCAAAAGCAUGAACGUUUUCUGGUAUUUUCAGAAAAACAAGUGUUUAUGUUUUGUUUAAUUUAGACAUGGAGGAAAACAGGUUUGCUUUGUGUGCACUGACGUGUCCAGUAGAUGCCGUGACAAUGUGAUUUUGUGUAAAAUGUAGAUAAUGAAAGCAUUUAAAAAUUCAUAGGAGAGGAAUAGAGUAUCACUCUUACAUAAAAUGUCUUUCAAACUCUGUUGAAGUCCAUUAUAAACAAUGGUUCUUAACACGAACACUGUCAACAUUAUUGUUUUAGGGAAGGGAUGCUGAUAUCUCUCUCCAGUAUCAGCUUUUAGGUUAUUAUGAAAACGAUCAGUGGUUAAUAAUUAUGAACAGAUCUGAUUACUGUGAGAUGUCCAGUUAUUGCUGGCAGCUGAGUAGUCGAGGGAUUGAAGAGUGAUAAAAUAUUCAGAUUUAAAAAAAAAAAAAAACAACAGAAGACCAGUGUUUGGGUAAUAGCAUCUCUCUUGUGCUGGUCUCAGUUCCUCUUUAUCUUAUCUAUUAAUUUCGGAGCAUGGAAACACCAUCCUUGGGUAUGUCAACAUUGUACAUGUGUAGGACAAAGAUAAAGAUAUUGAAAACGUUGACCUCCAGUUUAAAAUGUCCUCAGACCACAGCUCUGAAUUUCCAAGUUCACUGUGCCCUUCCAAGGUCCUAUAAAAAUCCCGUCUUGAUUUAUAGCUAGCAUUUGUUUUUUCUUUUGGCACUGUGAGUGGGUUUCAGGAAAGGAGAGCUAUGCAGUGAAGAAAACUGCAUGCCCAUGAGUUUUUAGUUCAGUUCUCAUGAGUUUUAUGCAACCACCACUACGGAUCAUGUCAAUAACUCAUUGAACAAAGCUGAAAGAAGCUGUGUUCAUGAAUAAGCCUGUGACAUUUGCCUGAAUAUGUUCCUUCACUGUUUUAGCAGUCAGCUGAACAUGUGCUUUCAUUAGAGUUUCUGAUGCCACAGGUAACUGUAUAAAAAUCUCAUCUAACAGCUUUGACUUCAAUGCAUAUUGGAGUUGUCCAAUGUACUGGCCAAUUGUACUGGCAGGCCACAUGAAUUUUUUUUUGCAUCCAACAAAAUCAUUGUUGAGAAAUUUGGUAUUACUUUGCUAAAAUGGGUAUCUACUGAAUCUCCCCAAUCCAAUUCUUUCCUCUAAUAUGGUAAUCUGUUAUCUGUAUUUAAUUAUCUGGAAGGUGAAAGUUGCUGGGCUGCCCAAUGGAAAAUUUUAAGCCCUUUCACUCUCGGUCUGUUGUCUUUUCAGAUCAAUCUUUCUGCUAAUGACAACCAAUACUUUCAUAUGUGAUUACAGUCCUGCUCCAUCUUUUCAUGAGCCGAGACUCUUUGGAAUCAUAUGUAUUGAUCUUUUUAAUAGAAGUCAGGAAAAAUAAAAUUACUCUGGCUUCUUGCGGCAAAACGAUGAUAAAUGAGAACUUAGAAACUUAUGGGAGAAAUUUUUUCUGCCUUGGAUUAUUUUAAUCACUAAAAAUGAUUGUCUUUUUAAUAAUAUUUGCUUUCCAUUAUGCACAUUUGCAGCAAAGCCAAAAAUUGUUUCUGUAUUGCUUUAUGAAACCACAUCGAGGCCGGGGACUGUCGGUAUUACCGUACCUGCUGGUGACUCAGGUACGGUGGCCCCUAAUAGGAGACAGGGAGCUAAGACUCUCUGCAGCAGUCUCAAGCUGAGCUUCCGUAGAGCACUUCUGAUGAAAGAGAAUUUACCGAAGUAGGCAUUUUUAAAGAGAACUUUUGUUUAAAACUCAUUGUUAAUACUAUUGUUUUAGAAGCAAGCUUGUAUUUCUUUUAUCACUCCUCCUCCUUGAUUUCUCCUUGGCUAAGACUGAUUAUUUCCCAAGUGGGUUUGCUGUUUUGUUUAAGAGACAAGUAUAUGUAAUUCCUUGCCUGUGGUUUUCCUUGCUUUCUCUGCGUGUCCAGUAGCUGCUGGUGGUGCCAUUGGUGAUAACUGGGAAUCGAACAUGUGGGGGUCACUGCUCUAUCACCUUUUCUCUGAAACCCAAAACUAUAGGACUCACUUCGGCUCUCAUUUUAGAAUCUGAGCUUUUAUGUUUUGUAUUUGAACCAAGUUCCCAGUUCCCGGCUGAAGACAGAAUUGUUUCCUUGGCUUCAGGGGAACAUGAGGCCGACGCAGAUGAUCAAAGAGAGUCAGUGCCACUACACAUAAGAGAUCAGAUCUCUGGUGGUAUGAAGAUAUGGAUAAGGUUCAAAAUUUUGACGAUGUCAGGCCAAAGUACAGCCUUGUUUUGCUUUGUUUGGCCCUUGGAGACCUAUCUGUAAGAAGGGAAACUUGUCCCAUUGGGACACCACAGAAAUAGCCCCUGUGGCUCCAUGGCAUUAUUUCACCAUGAUGCAGUGAUGGAUCCCACCCCACCACCCUCAAUUCCUAUCCCCCUCCUACAUAAACAUGACAAAAAGAAAGAUCACAUCCAGAUACAAGUUUUGCUCAAUGAGCUUGUCAUUUAACUUGGUUUAAUCCAGUUACGUGAAGACUUGUCCGGAGUGUACCAUGCAUGUAGGACAGGACAAGGGAGGCAGUUUUCCAGAUUGAGUGUGUAGGAUUGAUGGUCAUUCAAGGAAGAUAGCCAGAAAACCUCGUUACAUGCCUGAGGAGGGUUUCUCGGCCUCGGGUGCCUGGUGACCCUGAGGAUAGAUAAAGUCUGAUCUGGGGGUACAUUUAGGCUGAGAACUGAAGAAUAGAAGUAAGCCAGAUGGAAAUUGGAGACCAUGGGUAGGGAAAGAAAAUUCCAGCCUGAGGGAACUGCCAUGUGAAGGUGGGAAUUUGAGGGCCAUGGUCUUUGUGAGGAAUGGGUACUAUCCCAGCAUGACUACAAUACAGAAAGUGCCCAGAGAUUUGCGUAAUUGCUUCCUCAUGUCGCCUGGGAGUACAGGUGAUUUCUGAGUCUGAAUUUACUCACACAUGAAGGUAAUGAUGAUUCUAAGGCAGAUUUUGGGCUUUACCUGCCGAAUGAGCUGUGUGUGUGGUGUUGCCUUUGUCUAGACUGCUCAACUUUGGCCCUUUGCUAUCUUUGACCAAAAGGCAGUGUUUGUAAAAUUGUUUGGAUAUUUCUAAAAUGUUGGCCUUAAUUUAUAAAAAUGAAUGGAAAAUAUUAGAACUCAAAUGCUGAUAUCUGUGAUAAGAAAUGUAGGCUUUAAAAAUUCGUAAAAUUGGAAGAAAAUGGAAAGUUUUGUGGUAAAUUAACCUGAGGCAUGCAUUACUUUUAAGCCUGUUAACUGUACAUUCACAUGUGAAACUUUAAGCCUGUCAAUGCUGUAUUCAGAUGUGAAAAGUGAAACAUUAAGAGGCAUGCUUGAAAUACUAGAAAUAAACUGAUGAAGAGUACAAUUAUGUCUGAAGAUGAGGUAUAACUAAGGACUUUUUAAUGUGUUUCUCUGGGAAUCCCCUCAUCAUGAGGAAUACAUUAUUUAAGUUGUAUUCUACUUGUUUUCUGCAAUCCCAAAUACACACACACAUACACACACACACACACAGAGAUGUAGAGGACUGUCUUAUUUUUUUUUUCCUUGGGAGUUUUAAGGAUGGUUAGAAAUCACAGAUUCAAAAUUUAGUAGCUUAUAUGAUCUCAGUUCUUAGUUCUGUGCAUUAGAUGAAACAGUGGAAUAAUGUGAAAUUAAAAGCAACCAAAAAAAAUCUGUUUGUACCUACUUCGCUGAGUACUUCUGUAGAUACCAUUAACUCUUCAAAUUUCCAAAAUCUAGAUCUUGCUAUUAGAAAGUGAUGAAAGCUCUUGGAAAUGGUUGAUAACAAUUUGUGUAAAUGGAAAUAGCAAAAUAGGACUAACUACAGAGGCAAAAAGGAGAAAGAACAGUGGAAAAUUUAUUUCUCCUGAAUUAGAAAUUCUGAAGUUUUAUUGAGGUGAAUUCUGUGAGCAAAUUUUGUUACCUGGUUAUAUAUUCCUAGAGGAAUAUUGUGCUUUGGUUGCAUGCUUGACUGACCAUGGGAGGUUUAAAUACCUUUAAAUACAAGGGUGCCCACUGAUGUCCACCUUACAUCAUGCCUUCUUGAUGUUGUUUCAGUUCUAGCCCACCUCUGAAUUGAUACUCUCUAGGCUUUGGUGGUUGCAUUAGGAAGAUUCCAGAAUCUUGGAUAACUUAAUAGUCUUUUUGCAGGCUGAAGAAUCAGCAUGUAGAAUAUAGACUCUAGGUUAUCAAACUUUUAAGUUCAUAAUUAACAAACUAAAAUAUGCAAAAGGAAAAGUACCUUUUCUCUUUGCCAUCUAAUACACAUUAGAGAAUCUUCCACUUCCCCACCCCCUAAUAUGGUCUGCUGGUAAUUUAUUUCCAGUUUGGCAUUCUCUUCUCUUUAUCUAUUGAAAACAUUGAGGGCUCUAUUGUCAUUUUGAUUGCAAUUCCAUCAAUACCCAGUGUACCUUAAAAUGGCCUUUAAUUUUUUAUGACUCAAGCCUGCAGAAAAACACUGUGGAUCAUUUUUCUAGGCUGGUUUUAUCUACCACCUCUUACUUGAUACUCUGCUUCACACCCACCUGUCAGUCUUUUGAUAUCCCAGUGGGGUGGAGAGUUUAAGAUAUUGAUCACAGUUCUGUGGGUGAUUACUCUAAGCUCUUUCUCGGGAAGACUCUGAAAGCUGGUAUAUGCCCAUCCAUCCAUCCAUCCAGAUAGCUCUCUAGAGUCUGUAGGUGAGACAUUCCCAUCAGCAUAAGCAUGUGACGUGGUCAUUGCAUGGCCUGCUUGUGAGAAUGUGUUGGCCCUUGACUAUGCACCCUUCUUUGCAUUUCUCUAGUGUUUGCUGUUUGGAUGUUAUACAUACUUUAAUUGUUAACCUUAUUCCUUCUCUCAGGUCCAUAGCUGUUCCUGUUUGGUAAACUACAUAAUCCCUCUCGCAAUACUUGUUAAUUAUCUGGGGAUAUAAGUUUAAGAAAAGUCUACUGAUCAUGGGACACCUGGGUGGCUCAGUAGGUUGAGUGUCUGACUCUUGAUUUCAGCUCACGUUGUGGUCCCAGCAUCAUAGGAUUGGGCCCUGGGUCGGUCUCUGUGCUAAUUAUGUGUCCUGCUUGAGAUUCUCUCUUUCUGUUCCUUCUGUCGCCAUCCCCUCUUGUACUCUCUCUAAAUUAAAAAAAAAAAAAAAAGUCUGUUGAUGAAGACAUUGUUAAGUGGAAUGUCUUAGGCUCCAGCCCAUUGUUGAGUCACUCAGAUGUGAACAGAUGAGCAGCAAGCACCUCAGGUUCUAAGAAGUCUGUCAGUCUGGAUUUCUGAAGUCAGAGUUCAGUUUAUCUACAACAACCAAACUAAAAAUACUCCAUAUUGAGAUAUAAGGGACCUGAUAACUUUCUGAAUCAUCCAUAGGGGCAAUCUAAGCAGUAUCUCUGUUAAGCUUUUAAGAAUUCAAAAUGCAUAUUUAUGAUUUUAAAAACAUUUUUUAAAUGUUUAUUUUUGAGAGAGAGACAGAGAGUGUGAGCUGGG
Molecule: RNA transcript, 7456 nt
Organism: Felis catus (domestic cat)
Lineage: Eukaryota; Metazoa; Chordata; Mammalia; Carnivora; Felidae
Exons: 3
Source: RefSeq, a predicted model, not a curated record